Molecule: unclassified non-coding RNA, 188 nt
Filed under: uncultured fungus
Lineage: Eukaryota; Fungi
Description: partial contains 18S rRNA, ITS1, 5.8S rRNA, ITS2 and 28S rRNA
Source: RNAcentral
AAGGAUCAUUAACAGGGUCACUGGGCGCUCCGGCGUCCAACACCAACCCUUCGUUUCCCGCCCGUCCUUUGGCGUGAAGGGGGCUUGCCUGACGGUGGGGCCCCUGCCGAAAUCAACUCUGAACCACUUUGCAGCCUGAAGUAAAAAGCAAAUAGUUAAAACUUUCAACAACGGAUCUCUUGGUUCUG